This 253-nucleotide ribosomal RNA is filed under the name uncultured bacterium. RNAcentral describes it as "partial 16S ribosomal RNA". It matches the Rfam family "Bacterial small subunit ribosomal RNA", at positions 524 to 776 of the family's 1533-position model. The record is from RNAcentral.
UACGUAGGGGGCAAGCGUUGUCCGGAUUUAUUGGGCGUAAAGAGCGUGUAGGCGGCCUGACAGGUCUGCUGUGAAAUCUCGAGGCUCAACCUCGAGAUGUCGGCGGAAACCGUCUGGCUAGAGUCCGGAAGAGGAGAGUGGAAUUCCUGGUGUAGCGGUGAAAUGCGCAGAUAUCAGGAAGAACACCUAUGGCGAAGGCAGCUCUCUGGGACGGUACUGACGCUGAGACGCGAAAGCGUGGGGAGCGAACAGG